GUUGUAGUCUGGAGAAGUGCUUUCCGCGCUGGACCGUGUAUAAGUCUCUUGGAACAGAGCGUCAUAGAGGGUGAGAAUCCCGUCUUUGACACGGACUACCAGUGCUUUGUGAUGCGCUCUCAAAGAGUCGAGUUGUUUGGGAAUGCAGCUCAAAAUGGGUGGUGAAUUCCAUCUAAAGCUAAAUAUUGGCGAGAGACCGAUAGCGAACAAGUACCGUGAGGGAAAGAUGAAAAGCACUUUGGAAAGAGAGUUAAACAGUACGUGAAAUUGCUGAAAGGGAAACGCUUGAAGUCAGUCGCGUCGUCCGGAACUCAGCCUUGCUUUUGCUUGGUGCACUUUCCGGAUGACGGGCCAGCAUCGAUUUUGACCGUCGGAAAAGGGCUAGGGUAAUGUGGCACCUUCGGGUGUGUUAUAGACCUUAGUCGCAUACGGCGGUUGGGAUCGAGGAACGCAGCGCGCCGCAAGGCAGGGGUUCGCCCACUUUCGCGCUUAGGAUGCUGGCAUAAUGGCUUUAAACGACCCGUCUUGAAACACGGACCAAGGAGUCUAACAUACCUGCGAGUGUUUGGGUGGAAAACCCGAGCGCGUAAUGAAAGUGAAAGUUGAGACCUCUGUCGUGGAGGGCAUCGACGCCCGGACCUGACGUUCUCUGACGGAUCCGCGGUAGAGCAUGUAUGUUGGGACCCGAAAGAUGGUGAACUAUGCCUGAAUAGGGUGAAGCCAGAGGAAACUCUGGUG
RNAcentral lists this ribosomal RNA (738 nucleotides) under Truncospora tephropora. RNAcentral describes it as "partial 28S rRNA". It matches the Rfam family "Eukaryotic large subunit ribosomal RNA", at positions 142 to 869 of the family's 3401-position model. The record is from RNAcentral. Lineage: Eukaryota; Fungi; Basidiomycota; Agaricomycetes; Polyporales; Polyporaceae.